GGGUUGCGGACAGUGUCUGGUGGGUAGUUUGACUGGGGCGGUCUCCUCCUAAAGAGUAACGGAGGAGCACGAAGGUUGGCUAAUCCUGGUCGGACAUCAGGAGGUUAGUGCAAUGGCAUAAGCCAGCUUGACUGCGAGCGUGACGGCGCGAGCAGGUGCGAAAGCAGGUCAUAGUGAUCCGGUGGUUCUGAAUGGAAGGGCCAUCGCUCAACGGAUAAAAGGUACUCCGGGGAUAACAGGCUGAUACCGCCCAAGAGUUCAUAUCGACGGCGGUGUUUGGCACCUCGAUGUCGGCUCAUCACAUCCUGGGGCUGAAGUAGGUCCCAAGGGUAUGGCUGUUCGCCAUUUAAAGUGGUACGCGAGCUGGGUUUAGAACGUCGUGAGACAGUUCGGUCCCUAUCUGCCGUGGGCGCUGGAGAACUGAGGGGGGCUGCUCCUAGUACGAGAGGACCGGAGUGGACGCAUCACUGGUGUUCGGGUUGUCAUGCCAAUGGCACUGCCCGGUAGCUAAAUGCGGAAGAGAUAAGUGCUGAAAGCAUCUAAGCACGAAACUUGCCCCGAGAUGAGUUCUCCCUGAGACUUAGAGUCUCCUGAAGGAACGUUGAAGACGACGACGUUGAUAGGCCGGGUGUGUAAGCGCAGCGAUGCGUUGAGCUAACCGGUACUAAUGAACCGUGAGGCUUAACCUUACA
Molecule: ribosomal RNA, 692 nt
Filed under: Salmonella enterica subsp. enterica
Lineage: Bacteria; Pseudomonadati; Pseudomonadota; Gammaproteobacteria; Enterobacterales; Enterobacteriaceae
Also listed under: 1 other name
Description: partial 23S ribosomal RNA
Rfam family: Bacterial large subunit ribosomal RNA
Source: RNAcentral